This 497-nucleotide ribosomal RNA is filed under the name uncultured bacterium. Its description in RNAcentral is "bacterial SSU rRNA". It matches the Rfam family "Bacterial small subunit ribosomal RNA", at positions 899 to 1397 of the family's 1533-position model. The record is from RNAcentral.
ACUCAAAUGAAUUGACGGGGGCCCGCACAAGCAGCGGAGCAUGUGGUUUAAUUCGACGCAACGCGAAGAACCUUACCUGGGCUUGACAUGUGAGUGACAGCCGUGGAAACACGGUCUCCCUUCGGGGCACUUUCACAGGUGGUGCAUGGCUGUCGUCAGCUCGUGUCGUGAGAUGUUGGGUUAAGUCCCGCAACGAGCGCAACCCCCGUCGCAUGUUGCCAGCAUUUAGUUGGGGACUCAUGCGAGACUGCCGGUGACAAACCGGAGGAAGGCGGGGAUGAGGUCAAGUCAUCAUGCCCCUUAUGUCCAGGGCUACACACGUGCUACAUUGGCGCGUACAAAGGGCUGCGAUACCGCGAGGUGGAGCGAAUCCCUUAAAGCGCGUCUCGGUUCGGAUUGCAGGCUGAAACUCGCCUGCAUGAAGGCGGAGUUGCUAGUAAUCGUGGAUCAGCAAUGCCACGGUGAAUACGUUCCCGGGCCUUGUACACACCGCCCGU